RNAcentral lists this ribosomal RNA (497 nucleotides) under uncultured bacterium. RNAcentral's name for it is "partial 16S ribosomal RNA". It matches the Rfam family "Bacterial small subunit ribosomal RNA", at positions 28 to 507 of the family's 1533-position model. The record is from RNAcentral.
GAUGAACGCUGGCGGCGUGCCUAAUACAUGCAAGUCGAGCGAACAGACGAGGAGCUUGCUCCUCUGACGUUAGCGGCGGACGGGUGAGUAACACGUGGAUAACCUACCUAUAAGACUGGGAUAACUUCGGGAAACCGGAGCUAAUACCGGAUAAUAUAUUUAACCGCAUGGUUCAAUAGUGAACGACGGUUUUGCUGUCACUUAUAGAUGGAUCCGCGCCGCAUUAGCUAGUUGGUAAGGUAACGGCUUACCAAGGCAACGAUGCGUAGCCGACCUGAGAGGGUGAUCGGCCACACUGGAACUGAGACACGGUCCAGACUCCUACGGGAGGCAGCAGUAGGGAAUCUUCCGCAAUGGGCGAAAGCCUGACGGAGCAACGCCGCGUGAGUGAUGAAGGUCUUCGGAUCGUAAAACUCUGUUAUUAGGGAAGAACAAAUGUGUAAGUAAAUAUGCACGUCUUGACGGUACCUAAUCAGAAAGCCACGGCUAACUACGUG